GCCUUCGUGGUGUAAUGGUCAGCACACUCGGCGCGUAAUCGAGAGGUCCGUGGUUCAAGUCCUGGCGAAGGUG
RNAcentral lists this transfer RNA (73 nucleotides) under Stegodyphus mimosarum. It matches the Rfam family "tRNA". Rfam says of the family: Transfer RNA (tRNA) molecules are approximately 80 nucleotides in length. Lineage: Eukaryota; Metazoa; Arthropoda; Arachnida; Araneae; Eresidae. The record is from Rfam by way of RNAcentral.